Molecule: ribosomal RNA, 429 nt
Filed under: uncultured bacterium
Lineage: Bacteria
Description: bacterial SSU rRNA
Rfam family: Bacterial small subunit ribosomal RNA
Source: RNAcentral
UGGGGAAUUUUGGACAAUGGGGGGAACCCUGAUCCAGCAAUGCCGCGUGCAGGAUGAAGGCCUUCGGGUUGUAAACUGCUUUUGUACGGAACGAAAAGCUCUGGGUUAAUACCCUGGAGUCAUGACGGUACCGUAAGAAUAAGCACCGGCUAACUACGUGCCAGCAGCCGCGGUAAUACGUAGGGUGCGAGCGGUAAUCGGAAUUACUGGGCGUAAAGCGUGCGCAGGCGGUUUUGUAAGACAGUGGUGAAAUCCCCGGGCUCAACCUGGGAACUGCCAUUGUGACUGCAAGGCUGGAGUGCGGCAGAGGGGGAUGGAAUUCCGCGUGUAGCAGUGAAAUGCGUAGAUAUGCGGAGGAACACCGAUGGCGAAGGCAAUCCCCUGGGCCUGCACUGACGCUCAUGCACGAAAGCGUGGGGAGCAAACAGG